GAUGAACGCUGGCAGAAUGCUUAACACAUGCAAGUCGACUUGAAUUUGGGUUUUUAACUUAGGUUUGGGUGGCGGACGGGUGAGUAACGCGUAAAGAACUUGCCUCACAGCUAGGGACAACAUUUGGAAACGAAUGCUAAUACCUAAUAUUAUGAUAAUAGGGCAUCCUAUAAUUAUGAAAGCUAUAAGAGCUGUGAGAGAGCUUUGCGUCCCAUUAGCUAGUUGGAGAAGUAACGGCUCACCAAGGCGAUGAUGAGUAGCCGGCCUGAGAGGGUGAUCGGCCACAAGGCGACGGAGACACGGAGCUUACUCCAACGGGAGGCAGCAGUGAGGAAUAUUGGACAAUGGACCGAGAGUCUGAUCCAGCAAUUCUGUGUGCACGAUGAAGUUUUUCGGAAUGUAAAGUGCUUUCAGUAGGGAAGAAACAAAUGACGGUACCAACAGAAGAAGCGACGGCGAAAUACG
Molecule: ribosomal RNA, 465 nt
Filed under: uncultured bacterium
Lineage: Bacteria
Description: partial 16S ribosomal RNA
Rfam family: Bacterial small subunit ribosomal RNA
Source: RNAcentral